GCUUGCUUCUCUGGAUGAGUUGCGAACGGGUGAGUAACGCGUAGGUAACCUGCCUGGUAGCGGGGGAUAACUAUUGGAAACGAUAGCUAAUACCGCAUAAUAGCAGUUGUUGCAUGACAACUGUUUGAAAGGUGCAAUUGCACCACUACCAGAUGGACCUGCGUUGUAUUAGCUAGUUGGUGGGGUAACGGCUCACCAAGGCGACGAUACAUAGCCGACCUGAGAGGGUGAUCGGCCACACUGGGACUGAGACACGGCCCAGACUCCUACGGGAGGCAGCAGUAGGGAAUCUUCGGCAAUGGACGGAAGUCUGACCGAACAACGCCGCGUGAGUGAAGAAGGUUUUCGGAUCGUAAAGCUCUGUUGUAAGUCAAGAACGAGUGUGAGAGUGGAAAGUUCACACUGUGACGGUAGCUUACCAGAAAGGGACGGCUAACUACGUGCCAGCAGCCGCGGUAAUACGUAGGUCCCGAGCGUUGUCCGGAUUUAUUGGGCGUAAAGCGAGCGCAGGCGGUUUGAUAAGUCUGAAGUUAAAGGCUGUGGCUCAACCAUAGUUCGCUUUGGAAACUGUCAAACUUGAGUGCAGAAGGGGAGAGUGGAAUUCCAUGUGUAGCGGUGAAAUGCGUAGAUAUAUGGAGGAACACCGGUGGCG
Molecule: ribosomal RNA, 652 nt
Filed under: uncultured Bacilli bacterium
Lineage: Bacteria; Bacillati; Bacillota; Bacilli
Description: bacterial SSU rRNA
Rfam family: Bacterial small subunit ribosomal RNA
Source: RNAcentral